Non-coding RNA from Trichuris suis (pig whipworm), 45 nucleotides. The record is from Rfam. Lineage: Eukaryota; Metazoa; Nematoda; Enoplea; Trichinellida; Trichuridae.
CAAACGGCCCUUUUCAGGGCCACAUAAUUUUGCUGUCGCACACUG